GAUGAACUCUGGCGGCGUGCCUAAUACAUGCAAGUCGAGCGAACAGACGAGGAGCUUGCUCCUCUGACGUUAGCGGCGGACGGGUGAGUAACACGUGGAUAACCUACCUAUAAGACUGGGAUAACUUCGGGAAACCGGAGCUAAUACCGGAUAAUAUAUUGAACCGCAUGGUUCAAUAGUGAAAGACGGUUUUGCUGUCACUUAUAGAUGGAUCCCCGCCGCAUUAGCUAGUUGGUAAGGUAACGGCUUACCAAGGCGACGAUGCGUAGCCGACCUGAGAGGGUGAUCGGCCACACUGGAAGUGAGACACGGUCCAGACGCCUACGGGAGGCAGCAGUAGGGAAUCUUCCGCACUGGGCGAAAGCCUGACGGAGCAACGCCGCGUGAGUGAUGAAGGUCUUCGGAUCGUAAAGCUCUGUUAUUAGGGAAGAACAAAUGUGUAAGUAACUAUGCACGUCUUGACGGUACCUAAUAAGAAAGCAACGGCUAACUACGUG
This 497-nucleotide ribosomal RNA is filed under the name uncultured bacterium. Its description in RNAcentral is "partial 16S ribosomal RNA". It matches the Rfam family "Bacterial small subunit ribosomal RNA", at positions 28 to 507 of the family's 1533-position model. The record is from RNAcentral.